UUUCCGUAGGUGAACCUGCGGAAGGAUCAUUAACGAUGGGACUGUCUAUCUUUGUGAAGCGGGGGCUCGCCCCCUUAUACGUUGAGUCAGGUUGAACAAUGAUGAUAAUUUUUAACAAUGGAUCUCUAGGCUCUU
Molecule: unclassified non-coding RNA, 135 nt
Filed under: soil metagenome
Description: partial contains small subunit ribosomal RNA, internal transcribed spacer 1, and 5.8S ribosomal RNA
Source: RNAcentral